RNAcentral lists this ribosomal RNA (366 nucleotides) under Haliclona vansoesti. RNAcentral describes it as "eukaryotic LSU rRNA". It matches the Rfam family "Eukaryotic large subunit ribosomal RNA", at positions 16 to 352 of the family's 3401-position model. Lineage: Eukaryota; Metazoa; Porifera; Demospongiae; Haplosclerida; Chalinidae. The record is from RNAcentral.
UAGGUCGACCCGCUGAACUUAAGCAUAUCAAUAAGCGGAGGAAAAGAAACCAACCGGGAUUCCCUUAGUAACGGCGAGCGAAGUGGGAACCGGUGCCCAGGUCUGAAAUCUCUGUCCCGACCUUGAGGGGCGGCGAAUUGUGGUCUGGAGAGACGGACUGUUCCGAUUGUCACCGCUCCUCGGCCCAAAGUCGACUUGGAAUGGCGCGCCGUAGAGGGUGAGAGCCCCGUAGGGCACGGAAAUGGGAAGCGGCGGGACGAGGGUCCGUUCUCGUAGAGUCGGGUUGUUUGGGAGUGCAGCCCAAAUCGGGUGGUAGACUCCAUCCAAGGCUGAAUACAAGCGUGGGUCCGAUAGCGGACAAGUACC